UGUGUUCUAACCAUAACUAACUGUAACCCAUAGGUGAGUGUGUUCUAACUGUAACCCAUAGGUGAGUGUGUUCUAACUGUAACCCAUAGGUGAGUGUGUUCUAACCAUAACUAACUGUAACCCAUAGGUGAGUGUGUUCUAACUGUAACCCAUAGGUGAGUGUGUUCUAACUGUAACCCAUAGGUGAGUGUGUUCUAACUGUAACCCAUAGGUGAGUGUGUUCUAAAUGUAACCCAUAGCUGAGUGUGUUCUAACUGUAACCCAUAGGUGGCUUUGUUCUAUCCAGCCUAUUCACAGAUCUGUCAGUGUUAAUGAAAGAAAGGAGACGAGAG
This is a long non-coding RNA of Oncorhynchus tshawytscha (Chinook salmon), 332 nucleotides long. NCBI's taxonomy places the organism in Eukaryota, Metazoa, Chordata, Actinopteri, Salmoniformes, Salmonidae. The record is from Ensembl.